This 464-nucleotide ribosomal RNA is filed under the name uncultured bacterium. RNAcentral describes it as "bacterial SSU rRNA". It matches the Rfam family "Bacterial small subunit ribosomal RNA", at positions 338 to 795 of the family's 1533-position model. The record is from RNAcentral.
CCUACGGGUGGCAGCAGUAGGGAAUCUUCCACAAUGGACGAAAGUCUGAUGGAGCAAUGCCGCGUGAGUGAUGAAGGAUUUCGGUUCGUAAAACUCUGUUGCGAGGGAAGAACAAGUGUAAAGUAACUACUUACACCUUGACGGUACCUCGUUAGAAAGCCACGGCUAACUACGUGCCAGCAGCCGCGGUAAUACGUAGGUGGCAAGCGUUGUCCGGAAUUAUUGGGCGUAAAGCGCACGCAGGUGGCCUUCUAAGUCUGAUGUGAAAUCCCACGGCUUAACCGUGGAAGGUCAUUGGAAACUGGAAGGCUUGAGGAUAGAAGAGGAAAGUGGAAUUCCACGUGUAGCGGUGAAAUGCGUAGAGAUGUGGAGGAACACCAGUGGCGAAGGCGACUUUCUGGUCUAUUACUGACGCUGAGGUGCGAAAGCGUGGGGAGCAAACAGGAUUAGAUACCCCAGUAGUC